CGUAGGGUGCUAGCGUUGUCCGGAAUUAUUGGGCGUAAAGAGCUCGUAGGUCGUUUGUUACGUCGGAUGUGAAAACCUGAGGCUCAACCUCAGGCCUGCAUUCGAUACGGGGAAACUAGAGUUUGGUAGGGGAGACUGGAAUUCCGGGUGUAGCGGUGGAAUGCGCAGAUAUCAGGAGGAACACCAAUGGCGAAGGCAGGUCUCUGGGCCAAUACUGACACUGAGGAGCGAAAGUCUGGGGACCGAACAGGAUUMGAUACCCUGGUAGUCCAGACCGUAAACGGUGGGCACUAGUUGUGGGAACCUUCCACGGUUUCURCGACGCAGCUAACGCAUUAAGUGCCCCGCCUGGGGAGUACGAUCGCAAGAUUAAAACUCAAAGGAAUUGACGGGGCCCCGCACAAGCAGCGGAGCAUGCGGCUUAAUA
RNAcentral lists this ribosomal RNA (427 nucleotides) under uncultured bacterium 25-5-69. RNAcentral's name for it is "bacterial SSU rRNA". It matches the Rfam family "Bacterial small subunit ribosomal RNA", at positions 526 to 951 of the family's 1533-position model. Lineage: Bacteria; Bacillati; Actinomycetota; Actinomycetes. The record is from RNAcentral.